This is a long non-coding RNA of Thunnus maccoyii (southern bluefin tuna), 437 nucleotides long. RefSeq lists it as uncharacterized. The record is from RefSeq and is a predicted model, not a curated record. The transcript has 3 exons. NCBI's taxonomy places the organism in Eukaryota, Metazoa, Chordata, Actinopteri, Scombriformes, Scombridae.
AUCUGGUCUGCCUCAUUCUCCAUGUCUGGAUCCAGAGGGCUUUGUUUGACAUCUUUAUUCUGUUGGAGAAAAACAUACAAGGGAAAACUGCAAUAGCAACAGAUUUUCAGUCAUUCAUCUGUACACAGCUGUCAGCACCAGAUGACUUCAAUCAAGCUUCAGGUAAAUCUCUGAUUCGCCGCAACAAUAGAGAAAGUCUCUGACACCCAGAGGAAAUCUCUGCGUGGCCUCGUUGGAGCUGAAUAUAUUCAAGAGGCUCGUUUUUUAAAAGCGGAGCAGACGCACCGAGUCCCAGCAGAGAGGACAGAGACGGGACACGCCGACGGGCAGAAGACGUGACAUCUCACAGGGACGCAAGGUGACCGCAGGACGAUGGUCGGAGGAUUCUUGUUAAAGGUGCAGAGUGGAGAAUUUAGUAAGAAUGGACUUGGCAGAAA